Cygnus atratus (black swan) is the source of this 2450-nucleotide long non-coding RNA. RefSeq lists it as uncharacterized. The record is from RefSeq and is a predicted model, not a curated record. NCBI's taxonomy places the organism in Eukaryota, Metazoa, Chordata, Aves, Anseriformes, Anatidae. The transcript has 3 exons.
AUCUCAGAACAAGAAAGAAAAAAGGAGAGAGAAGGAAGGAAGGAAGGAAGGAAGGAAGGAAGGAAGGAAGGAAGGAAAAGAAAGGAGAAAAGGAAAAGAAAAAAAAGGAAAAGAAAAGGAGAGAAAAAGAAAAAAGGAAAAAGAAAAAGAAAGAAAAAGAAAAGAAAGAAAGAAAGAAAGAAAGAAAGAAAGAAAAAAAGAAAGAAAAGAAGAAAAAGAAAGAAAGAAAGAAAGAAAGAAAGAAAGAAAGAAAGAAAGAAAGAAAGAAAAAGAAAGAAAGACAAUUCUAUUAUACUUUCUGAAAGGACUCAUUAGACUACAAGAGGAAGUGUGCAGAGGAUAAUUGCAUAAGAACAAGCCAAAUACUGCAAUAUUACUGUAGGUCAGAAGAAGAAGGCUAUGAAAUGUGGGCACCUACACACAUCACGGCUACUAAGGAGAAAGGAAAGAUAUUCAUCCAGUGAAAGCAGGUGAGCAGAACAGCAUCUUCUCAGCCCUUCCUAACCAAGAUGGAGGUCUAAGAAGUCCUGGGUGUUCUAAGCAACCCAAGGGAUCCCUUCUGAACUCCCCUUUUCCAAGACGAUAGCCAUUCUGCGAAGGGUGAAGAUGGCCAAUUGGGAACCGCACAGAUAGACUGUGAAGCAUACACACCCUUCGGACUGACCAAUAUAUGGGCUACAGUUCUUCACACUGGCAACGUAAGAAGAAAACAUUAUAAAAAUCAGUGAUGGAUUCACUCUGUGUACUAAGGGCCUCUAUCACCUCCUGCAUUAACCACCACCUCGCAUUCCCAUCUGGAACCCCUGGAAGCUCAUUUAUUAGUGCAAUGUCAUGGGUUCUCUUUAGUUUCUCAACUCAGCACGCUGGUUGGAGGCAGCUGGGUGCUCUCUCCAUAAAAUGUGUGACCUAGCACAGGCUGGGAGGGCAAACUUGCUCCCUCUGGACUGUGUAUCCUUGUGAGCAGAGUGACAAACUGCUUGUUGAACAAGUUUGUGAAAAUUUGCUGCAGAGUCAUUUGGGGUGGGCCACUACUGAUAAGACUUACAGAUUGUGAAUGGGAACAGAAAAUCUCAGUGAGACAGUACAAGAAUUAAUCUUUUUGAUGUGUAAUAAUAAUUUGUCGUGAAAUAAAAACACACCAAGUUUGAAGGCAAUUUUACAGGAGUGAUUGCUCUGACAGAAUCAGCAUGUGGAGCUGUAGGUAUUAUAGCAAGCAGCAAGGGAAGCGCUAGCCUAGGGGAAAUGUGCACAUAGCCAUCAGCAGGGCAGGCACAAGACAAAAAAGCUAAAAAUUCAGGUGAACUUUUCAGCAGAAUCAUAGACAGUAUUACAGCCGAUGGCAAUAGAAGUGUUUACCUGACAGAAAAGCAGUAUGUGCCACUUCAAGUUGGACAGUGAUGCACAAACCAAUGCAGUACGAGAAUCUAAGUUAUUCACAGUAACAGAGAAGUCAAAGGAAGAAGAUAAAAGUCCAUUACUGAGUAAAAGUAUGUCAGUUCUACAGCUUCCUCAAGAGAAUGUCUUCACUGGGGAAGCAAAAGAGAAAAACAGCUUAAGAAAAAUCUCAGGACAUUUUCCAUAGCAUAGUGACAAAUUGCACCUUUUCCAGUUUGUUAGCUAUUAUAUAUAUCUCCAGUAGGGAAAGGAUCAGUGGUACAUAUUUAUCUUUCUCCGUUUACCCCAGGAUGAAAGCCUGUAGAAAAGUAUGUAUGCCUUUUAGCACAAGGUGGCUGGUGCUACAUAUUCCCAGCAUCUGUUGCCAGUAUACAGGAGAAAUUUAUAUGGGAUUUUGUUUAAAGGUACUAGAAAGGUGAUUUAUCCUGUGUUGAAUAAAAAUACCAAGAAGAAUACGGCAAGGUUAGUUAGGCAUGGAUAAACCCUUGAGAAGGACUGAAGAUAACCUAUGUUGCCUGAAAAUUAAAAGCGACACCGGAAAACCUAAGACUCUACACACAUGCCAAAGUCAAACUGAAUCAAGCAAAAGCUCAGAAAACAAAGGCUCCUCAAAAGUAAAGUAGGCAUUGGUUUACAUGGGCUGGAAAAACAAAUCUAUAUAUCCUAUUUUUCUUUCUUCGCUGAGCUAGCCCAAAUAUAAGACAUUACAGAUGAGUGUAUGUGUCAAAAGCAUUGAAUUAGUUGUGACGCAGCUGACAUAACUAUAACUGACAGCAACAUUAUUUAGCUUAAGUAGUUUGCAGUUGAGUAUAGACUUAGACAUAAUCUUGCCAACGGAACAGUUCCCACCCUAAUACUUGGGUAGGAAAUGGUGCCAGAUUAAUAAAGAUCUUAUUGAAAAGAAUCCAGAGCCAGAACCUAAUCCACAUUUAGAACAACUGAGUUCCAGGAUAGCAUCAGUGAUGCACGGAGCUGUCACCUAAGGACUUUUUUUUUCUUCCUAUGGAAAGCUAAAAUUCAGACUAGCUACAUUAUUAGACAUUGGAGACUUGCAG